UACGUAGGGGGCAAGCGUUGUCCGGAUUUAUUGGGCGUAAAGAGCGUGUAGGCGGCCGUACAGGUCAGCUGUGAAAACUCGAGGCUCAACCUCGAGACGUCGGUUGAAACCGUACGGCUAGAGUCCGGAAGAGGAGAGUGGAAUUCCCGGUGUAGCGGUGAAAUGCGCAGAUAUCGGGAAGAACACCCGGGGCGAAGGCGGCUCUCUGGGACGGUACGGACGCUGAGACGCGAAAGCGUGGGAGCGAACAGG
Molecule: ribosomal RNA, 252 nt
Filed under: uncultured bacterium
Lineage: Bacteria
Description: partial 16S ribosomal RNA
Rfam family: Bacterial small subunit ribosomal RNA
Source: RNAcentral